RNAcentral lists this ribosomal RNA (58 nucleotides) under Mentha x piperita (peppermint). Lineage: Eukaryota; Viridiplantae; Streptophyta; Magnoliopsida; Lamiales; Lamiaceae. The record is from RNAcentral.
GUGCUUGGGCGAGAGUAGUACUAGGAUGGGUGAGUCCUCGUGUUGCACCCCUUUUUUU